UUGACGGGACCCGCACAAGCGGUGGAUGAUGUGGUUUAAUUCGAUGCAACGCGAAAACCUUACCCACCUUUGACAUGGCAGGAAUCCCGAAGAGAUUUGGGAGUGCUCGAAAGAGAACCUGCACACAGGUGCUGCAUGGCUGUCGUCAGCUCGUGUCGUGAGAUGUUGGGUUAAGUCCCGCAACGAGCGCAACCCUUGCCAUUAGUUGCUACGAAAGGGCACUCUAAUGGGACUGCCGGUGACAAACCGGAGGAAGGUGGGGAUGACGUCAAGUCCUCAUGGCCCUUAUAGGUGGGGCUACACACGUCAUACAAUGGCCGGUACAGAGGGUAGCCAACCCGCGAGGGGGAGCCAAUCCCACAAAGCCGGUCGUAGUCCGGAUCGCAGUCUGCAACUCGACUGCGUGAAGUCGGAAUCGCUAGUAAUCGCGGAUCAGCAUGUCGCGGUGAAUACGUUCCCGGGUCUU
RNAcentral lists this ribosomal RNA (466 nucleotides) under uncultured Allobrachymonas sp. Its description in RNAcentral is "bacterial SSU rRNA". It matches the Rfam family "Bacterial small subunit ribosomal RNA", at positions 910 to 1382 of the family's 1533-position model. The record is from RNAcentral. Lineage: Bacteria; Pseudomonadati; Pseudomonadota; Betaproteobacteria; Burkholderiales; Comamonadaceae.